Long non-coding RNA from Oncorhynchus nerka (sockeye salmon), 1559 nucleotides. RefSeq lists it as uncharacterized. NCBI's taxonomy places the organism in Eukaryota, Metazoa, Chordata, Actinopteri, Salmoniformes, Salmonidae. The transcript is spliced from 3 exons. The record is from RefSeq and is a predicted model, not a curated record.
ACAGGAAAAACUGAUCACUGAAAAUGGAAAAAUAUAUUGCUUGCGCGACUUGAACCCAUUGAUAAAGGUGAACCACAAUUAAUUGACUGAGGUUGCAGUACCUACAGCUUCCACACGGUGUCUAGAGUCUUGUCAUUUCCCUACGAGUUUUUUCUUGGUCAAACACAUGCAAGGCAGCGCAUUUCUUCAGGUCUAGGACCGGAUAUUUUGGUUGAGUUUCUAGCCGGACAUUUUUCCAGACGGACAGCUAAUGAUUUUUACAUCGCCUCCUGAUGAAUUGUAUCGCUUAUUAACGUUUACUAAUACCUAAAGUUGCAUUACAAAAGUAUUUCGAAGUGUUUUGUGAACGUUUAUCGUCGACUUUUUGAAUUUUAAAAAAUGACGUUACGUUUUGAAACGAUGUUUUUUUCGUUUAUCACACAGUCUACAUAUAACGAUAUCUAGGCUUUAUAUGGACCGAUUUAAUCGAAAUAAAGACCCAAUAGUGUUUAUGGGACAUCUAGGAGUGCCAACAAAGAAGAUGGUGAAAGAUGAGAAGAUAUGAAGAAAACAGACCGUGGAAGCUAUGGCUCUGAGAGCAAUGAGAAGAUACGAAGAAAACAGACCGUGGAAGCUAUGGCUCUUCAGGGCAGUCUUCUCUUCCACGUCUGAAAGUGACCUUGUCAAUCACAUUCAACAAAUGGAAAGAGCCCUAUUUGGCCUAACAUCAUGGGACGUGAGAAGACUUGCCUUUGAUCUGGCAGAGAGGAUGGGAAUUAAGCACAGGCUCAACAAAGGAAAGGGGUAUGCAGAGGUGGAUUGGUUCAGUGGCUUCAUGAAGCACAACCCUCAACUGUCAGUAAGAGUAUCGCAAGCAACCAGUCUUGUGAGGAUCAAAUCAAAUUUUAUUUGUCACAUACACAUGGUUAGCAGAUGUUAAUUAAUGCGAGUGUACUGCGUUUGUCGUUUUAUUUUCAAUGCAAAGAAUCCAUUCAGCCGCAGUGCUCUAUUGCCACCUCUACCGAUGCGGCCACCAGCUCUACCGUCGCCAUCUCUAGCUCUACCUCCACCGCCACCAGCUCUAACUCCAAAACCUCUACCUCCACCACAUCUACCUCCGCCACAACCUCCACCCUGCAGCCUACCCUUGCUCCAAAUCUGCGGCAGUUCUAUUGGAGUUGUGCCAAGGCUCCAGGAGGCGAGGCCGAGGAAGAGGAAGGCAGAGUCUGCGGCUAUGCUGAUAGCCUCACCUUACAAAAGGUUGCUGGAGGAAAAGGCCUCAUAAAGAAGAAAGAAAGAGAGAGAGAGUAGGAAAACAAAUCAAGUUCUUCAAAGAAAGGGUGCCUUAAAGAAGGUUGUUGCAACACAAUAAGCCACAUCAGUCACCAAAGGGGAUGCAGAGUGUAUUUUCUGUGAGGAGCUGUUUUCAGCCACAGGUUGGACUGGAUUAGGUGUGAGUAGUGCAGGAGGUGGGCUUGUGAGUUAUUCCAAUGUUAUUUCAUGUUAUUAGUUAUAUUCCAUUCCAAUAUUGUAUUCAAAUGAAUAUUUUUUUUGAAUGAAUUAAAAACAACUAUUGAAAA